This 53-nucleotide small RNA is filed under the name Arabidopsis thaliana (thale cress). RNAcentral describes it as "ATSL243570". Lineage: Eukaryota; Viridiplantae; Streptophyta; Magnoliopsida; Brassicales; Brassicaceae. The record is from RNAcentral.
GAAGUAUUCGUGUCGCCGUUCUUUGAGUCCUCUGCAGAAUAGUAUGCAAUAUU